RNAcentral lists this long non-coding RNA (520 nucleotides) under Brassica rapa (field mustard). RNAcentral describes it as "long non-coding RNA (BRAP_LNC000831)". Lineage: Eukaryota; Viridiplantae; Streptophyta; Magnoliopsida; Brassicales; Brassicaceae. The record is from RNAcentral.
AGAGUUUAGACAUAAUGGCCACGUCUAUAGAUAAGUCAGCUUUGGUUUCUUUCAUCAUUGUGGUCCUGAAUCUUUAGAUGUAAGAUCUUAGUUAGAAACUAGAAUACAAAAACAGUGUUGAGUAACUUUUCUCUGUAACUGUUUUUCAAAAGGUUUUGAGUUGAGAGAACAUUGCAAGCAAAGACUUAAAGAGAGAAAAAUGUUACCUGAAGGCAGAGACCUGAGUUCAUCUCCGGCUACAACAACACGUCUCGCAGGAUAAUGUUGCCGGUAAAAAACCUGGAAGAUCCCAUUCAUACAUCCAAACUGUUUAUUUAGAUUUGGAUUCUCAUCUGACAAGUUAUACAAAAGCUUUGCCGACAUCUUCUUAGCUCUGGUUCGUAUAAGGUUUCGUCUUCUUUAUUUUCUCAUGUACAGUUCUUGAAAAUCUUCAGUUUCAGGAUUCUCCUUUGUUAUGUGUCUCAUUGAAAGUAGAAGAAGAGAGAGGAGGACAACGUAGAACCCAGCAUUUAGACAACGG